GAUGAAGAACGCAGCGAAAUGCGAUAAUUAAUGUGAAUUGCAGAAUUCCGUGAAUCAUCGAGUCUUUGAACGCACAUUGCGCCUCAUGGCAUUCCGUGAGGCAUGCCCAUCUCAGCGUUAGAAAAUAUUCUCAAAUUUUAGUUUUGUGCUAAAAUUUGGAUCAUGUCAAAGAAGCUAUUACUAUUAUUGUGAUCGCUCUUUGGAAAUUGAUAGGUCUUUGAGUUGCUACUGAGAGAACGUGAUGAAUCUUUCUUCGUUCUAUUGUAAUUCACUCUGGUAGUCCUAAAACUUGUAUGCCUGUGGCAUAUCUUGUAAUUUGACCUGAGAUUGGGUAGGGAUACCCACUGAACUUAAGCAUAUCAAUAAGCGGAGGA
This 374-nucleotide unclassified non-coding RNA is filed under the name soil metagenome. Its description in RNAcentral is "partial internal transcribed spacer 1". The stretch from base 1 to 120 matches the Rfam family "5.8S ribosomal RNA", at positions 35 to 154 of the family's 154-position model. The record is from RNAcentral.